GGCAAUUGGAAUGAGAAAUAUUUAAAUCCCUUAUCGAGGAUCAACUGAAGGGCAAGUCUGGUGCCAGCAGCCGCGGUAAUUCCAGCUUCAGUAGCGUAUAUUAAAGUUGUUGCAGUUAAAAAGCUCGUAGUCGCAUUUCUGGAGAGAGGAACUGGUCCGACCUUACGGUGGGUUCUUGGUUCUCUCUCUCCAUCCUUGAGUGGCCCGUUCUGGUAUUAGGUUAUCGGAGCGUCCGCCGCUCAUCGUUUACUGUGAGAAAAUUAGAGUGUUCAAAGCAGGCUUAUGCCGUUGAAUAUAUUAGCAUGGAAUAAUGAGAUAGGACCUCGGUACUAUUUUGUUGGUUUGCGCACCAAGGUAAUGAUGAACAGGGACAGUUGGGGGUAUUUGUAUUUCGUUGUCAGAGGUGAAGUUCUUAGAUUUACGAAAGACAAACUACUGCGAAAGCAUUUACCAAGGAUGUUUUCAUUGAUCAAGAACGAAAGUAUGGGGAUCGAAGAUGAUUAGAUACCAUCGUAGUCUAUACCAUAAACUAUGCCGACU
Molecule: ribosomal RNA, 540 nt
Filed under: uncultured diatom
Lineage: Eukaryota; Bacillariophyta
Description: SSU rRNA
Rfam family: Eukaryotic small subunit ribosomal RNA
Source: RNAcentral